UGGGGAAUCUUGCACAAUGGGGGCAACCCUGAUGCAGCGACGCCGCGUGAGCGAUGAAGCCCUUCGGGGCGUAAAGCUCUUUCGACCGGAACGAUAAUGACGGUACCGGGAGAAGAAGCUGCGGCUAACUACGUGCCAGCAGCCGCGGUAAUACGUAGGCAGCAAGCGUUGUUCGGCGUUACUGGGCGUAAAGAGUGAAUAGGCGGUUUUCUAAGUUCGGUGUGAAAUCUCCCGGCUUAACUGGGAGGGUGCGCCGAAGACUGGGAAGCUGGAGUGUGGGAAAGGCAGGCGGAAUUCCUGGUGUAGCGGUGAAAUGCGUAGAUAUCAGGAGGAACACCGGCGGUGUAGACGGCUUGCUAGACCAUAACUGACGCAGAGGCACGAAAGCGUGGGUAGCAAACA
RNAcentral lists this ribosomal RNA (402 nucleotides) under uncultured bacterium. RNAcentral's name for it is "bacterial SSU rRNA". It matches the Rfam family "Bacterial small subunit ribosomal RNA", at positions 355 to 774 of the family's 1533-position model. The record is from RNAcentral.